Dunckerocampus dactyliophorus (ringed pipefish) is the source of this 726-nucleotide long non-coding RNA. RefSeq lists it as uncharacterized. The transcript has 7 exons. The record is from RefSeq and is a predicted model, not a curated record. NCBI's taxonomy places the organism in Eukaryota, Metazoa, Chordata, Actinopteri, Syngnathiformes, Syngnathidae.
UCCUGUUCUUGUUUAAUUUCCCUCCAUUUGGUCCCACACACUUGCUCUUAAUUAGUCCCGCCCCUUCACUUCCUGUGUCCUGAGAGUGUAGUUCGGUCCCCGAGCGCCGCUUGAACGUGUGUUGUCUCCAAAACGGCCUCAUUAUUGGCUUGUUUUACACCCUUACAGAUGCGCCAUCAAACUUAAUGACAACCUCAAGUUAUUCAGGUCCACGAAGAUUGAACCAAAGGCAAGUGGUCGACUUCGUUGUUGGUGAAAGAGGUUUUUCCUCUCUGAAGACAUCGUAAUGGAAGGUUUUAAGACAAAAUUGGACAAUGCAAGCACAGAGAACGAGAGACAGAUGGACGCCCACCUGCAGUUGUUUCUUUGCAGUGUCAUUUCACUGAUGACUGCUAUGACAGAGCACCUUCACAAGAAGCAUUUGGCUUGAAGGUACGGUAUAAACACAUUUUGUAAAAGCAUACUACUUUGCUGGUACACAGGGAAAAAAAAGACAAGAGGAAUGACGUCAAAGUUACCACAGAACAGACUGACAGGUAUCACCCCGAUGACAUCACUACGGAAAUGAGACUGAACAGCGAGAGCUAGCUCAUCAUGGCUGGUGCCAUGAACCAUAAAUGCAUAAAUGAGAUCUUCCCCAUCAAUUGUCAUCACCUGCAGCGGACCUUGAACCAGGCCUGCUUGGAAGUUGUUAGCUGACUGGGUCAAAGUCUUCCAACACCAAGA